GGUUAAGCGACUAAGCGUACACGGUGGAUGCCCUGGCAGUCAGAGGCGAUGAAGGACGUGCUAAUCUGCGAAAAGCGUCGGUAAGGUGAUAUGAACCGUUACAGCCGGCGAUGUCCGAAUGGGGAAACCCAGUGUGAUUCGUCACACUAUCGUUAACUGAAUACAUAGGUUAACGAGGCGAACCGGGGGAACUGAAACAUCUAAGUACCCCGAGGAAAAGAAAUCAACCGAGAUUCCCCCAGUAGCGGCGAGCGAACGGGGAGCAGCCCAGAGUCUGAAUCAGCUUGUGUGUUAGUGGAACGGUCUGGAAAGUCCGACGGUACAGGGUGAUAGUCCCGUACACCAAAAUGCACAGGCUGUGAACUCGAAGAGUAGGGCGGGACACGUGGUAUCCUGUCUGAAUAUGGGGGGACCAUCCUCCAAGGCUAAAUACUCCUGAACCGAUAGUGAACCAGUACCGUGAGGGAAAGGCGAAAAGAACCCCGGCGAGGGGAGUGAAAAAGAACCUGAAACCGUGUACGUACAAGCAGUGGGAGCACCUUCGGGUGUGACUGCGUACCUUUUGUAUAAUGGGUCAGCGACUUAUAUUCUGUAGCAAGGUUAACCGUAUAGGGGAGCCGCAGGGAAACCGAGUCUUAACUGGGCGUUAAGUUGCAGGGUAUAGACCCGAAACCCGGUGAUCUAGCCAUGGGCAGGUUGAAGGUUGGGUAACACUAACUGGAGGACCGAACCGACUAAUGUUGAAAAAUUAGCGGAUGACUUGUGGCUGGGGGUGAAAGGCCAAUCAAACCGGGAGAUAGCUGGUUCUCCCCGAAAGCUAUUUAGGUAGCGCCUCGUGAACUCAUCUUCGGGGGUAGAGCACUGUUUCGGCUAGGGGGUCAUCCCGACUUACCAACCCGAUGCAAACUACGAAUACCGAAGAAUGUUAUCACGGGAGACACACGGCGGGUGCUAACGUCCGUCGUGAAGAGGGAAACAACCCAGACCGCCAGCUAAGGUCCCAAAGUCACAGUUAAGUGGGAAACGAUGUGGGAAGGCACAGACAGCCAGGAUGUUGGCUUAGAAGCAGCCAUCAUUUAAAGAAAGCGUAAUAGCUCACUGGUCGAGUCGGCCUGCGCGGAAGAUGUAACGGGGCUAAACUGUGCACCGAAGCUGCGGCAGCGACACUAUGUGUUGUUGGGUAGGGGAGCGUUCUGUAAGCCUGCGAAGGUGGCCUGUGAGGGUUGCUGGAGGUAUCAGAAGUGCGAAUGCUGACAUAAGUAACGAUAAUGCGGGUGAAAAGCCCGCACGCCGGAAGACCAAGGGUUCCUGUCCAACGUUAAUCGGGGCAGGGUGAGUCGACCCCUAAGGCGAGGCCGAAAGGCGUAGUCGAUGGGAAACAGGUUAAUAUUCCUGUACUUGGUGUUACUGCGAAGGGGGGACGGAGAAGGCUAUGUUAGCCGGGCGACGGUUGUCCCGGUUUAAGCAUGUAGGCGGAGGUUCCAGGUAAAUCCGGUACCUUUUUAACGCUGAGGUGUGAUGACGAGGCACUACGGUGCUGAAGUAACAAAUGCCCUGCUUCCAGGAAAAGCCUCUAAGCAUCAGGUAACAUUGAAUCGUACCCCAAACCGACACAGGUGGUCAGGUAGAGAAUACCAAGGCGCUUGAGAGAACUCGGGUGAAGGAACUAGGCAAAAUGGUGCCGUAACUUCGGGAGAAGGCACGCUGAUAUGUAGGUGAAGCCCCUGCGGGUGGAGCUGAAAUCAGUCGAAGAUACCAGCUGGCUGCAACUGUUUAUUAAAAACACAGCACUGUGCAAACACGAAAGUGGACGUAUACGGUGUGACGCCUGCCCGGUGCCGGAAGGUUAAUUGAUGGGGUUAUCCGUAAGGAGAAGCUCUUGAUCGAAGCCCCGGUAAACGGCGGCCGUAACUAUAACGGUCCUAAGGUAGCGAAAUUCCUUGUCGGGUAAGUUCCGACCUGCACGAAUGGCGUAAUGAUGGCCAGGCUGUCUCCACCCGAGACUCAGUGAAAUUGAACUCGCUGUGAAGAUGCAGUGUACCCGCGGCAAGACGGAAAGACCCCGUGAACCUUUACUAUAGCUUGACACUGAACAUUGAGCCUUGAUGUGUAGGAUAGGUGGGAGGCUUUGAAGCGUGGACGCCAGUCUGCGUGGAGCCAACCUUGAAAUACCACCCUUUAAUGUUUGAUGUUCUAACGUUGGCCCCUGACCGGGGUUGCGGACAGUGUCUGGUGGGUAGUUUGACUGGGGCGGUCUCCUCCCAAAGAGUAACGGAGGAGCACGAAGGUUAGCUAAUCCUGGUCGGACAUCAGGAGGUUAGUGCAAUGGCAUAAGCUAGCUUGACUGCGAGCGUGACGGCGCGAGCAGGUGCGAAAGCAGGUCAUAGUGAUCCGGUGGUUCUGAAUGGAAGGGCCAUCGCUCAACGGAUAAAAGGUACUCCGGGGAUAACAGGCUGAUACCGCCCAAGAGUUCAUAUCGACGGCGGUGUUUGGCACCUCGAUGUCGGCUCAUCACAUCCUGGGGCUGAAGUAGGUCCCAAGGGUAUGGCUGUUCGCCAUUUAAAGUGGUACGCGAGCUGGGUUUAGAACGUCGUGAGACAGUUCGGUCCCUAUCUGCCGUGGGCGCUGGAGAAUUGAGGGGGGCUGCUCCUAGUACGAGAGGACCGGAGUGGACGCAUCACUGGUGUUCGGGUUGUCAUGCCAAUGGCAUUGCCCGGUAGCUAAAUGCGGAAGAGAUAAGUGCUGAAAGCAUCUAAGCACGAAACUUGCCCCGAGAUGAGUUCUCCCUGAGACUUUAAGUCUCCUGAAGGAACGUUAAAGACGAUGACGUUGAUAGGUCGGGUGUGUAAGCGUAGCGAUACGUUGAGCUAACCGAUACUAAUGAACCGUGAGGCUUAACCUU
Molecule: ribosomal RNA, 2902 nt
Filed under: Klebsiella aerogenes
Lineage: Bacteria; Pseudomonadati; Pseudomonadota; Gammaproteobacteria; Enterobacterales; Enterobacteriaceae
Description: 23S ribosomal RNA
Rfam family: Bacterial large subunit ribosomal RNA
Source: RNAcentral